Molecule: transfer RNA, 628 nt
Filed under: uncultured cyanobacterium
Lineage: Bacteria; Bacillati; Cyanobacteriota
Description: partial miscellaneous RNA
Rfam family: tRNA (bases 250-322)
Source: RNAcentral
CAGGGAGACAAUAAAUUGAUUGUAAUGUUUGAGUAAUUUAUCUUAGGCUGCAAUCCUGUCACCUUAAGGUCGAUCGGUACCUCAGAUUAUUGAAUUAAUUUAAUAAUUAAUCCUUUAAUUUCAGUUCCUAAACUUGUCUAGGUCACACCCAACAAGGGUUUCUCCUGGGCCAUUAGCUCAGGUGGUUAGAGCGCACCCCUGAUAAGGGUGAGGUCCCUGGUUCAAGUCCAGGAUGGCCCAUUCGCAGUUGGGGGUAUAGCUCAGUUGGUAGAGCGCCUGCUUUGCAAGCAGGAUGUCAGCGGUUCGAGUCCGCUUACCUCCACUGAAACCUACACUGGUAACUAAAUUCCCGGAGAAAAAUUUGUAAUUGUGACCCUGUUGUCUAUUAGAAAAGAACCUAGCUUCUUAUCAUCUUUUUUAGUUGAUAAUAUGCUGGGCUCACAUGGAUUUUAUCCAUGAGAAUUCAGUAGAACCUUGAAAACUGCAUAGAUUAGAAAGAAUAAAGCAUCUCAUGGAUGCAUAAUUCUGUUUUUUAUAAAUUACCUAAAAGCUAAUUUAUAAACACAAUAGGAUUCAUGUUAAUUCUUGAGUAAUAGCCGAGCACAAUUGAUUUUGUGAUUGUAUUUAA